RNAcentral lists this ribosomal RNA (468 nucleotides) under uncultured bacterium. Its description in RNAcentral is "partial 16S ribosomal RNA". It matches the Rfam family "Bacterial small subunit ribosomal RNA", at positions 28 to 507 of the family's 1533-position model. The record is from RNAcentral.
GACGAACGCUGGCGGCGUGCUUAACACAUGCAAGUCGAACGGAAAGGCCCUGCUUUUGUGGGGUGCUCGAGUGGCGAACGGGUGAGUAACACGCGAGUAACCUGCCCUUGACUUUGGGAUAACUUCAGGAAACUGGGGCUAAUACCGGAUAGGAGCUCCUGCUGCAUGGUGGGGGUUGGAAAGUUUCGGCGGUUGGGGAUGGACUCGCGGCUUAUCAGCUUGUUGGUGGGGUAGUGGCUUACCAAGGCUUUGACGGGUAGCCGGCCUGAGAGGGUGACCGGCCACAUUGGGACUGAGAUACGGCCCAGACUCCUACGGGAGGCAGCAGUGGGGAAUAUUGCACAAUGGGCGGAAGCCUGAUGCAGCAACGCCGCGUGCGGGAUGACGGCCUUCGUGUUGUAAACCGCUUUCGCCUGUGACGAAGCGUGAGUGACGGUAAUGGGUAAAGAAGCACCGGCUAACUACGUG